UUUAAUGAGGUGUAUUGGCAUUUUACUUUUUGGUUGUGAAGGUGAUUAGUUAUCCAUUAAAU
This 62-nucleotide transfer RNA is filed under the name Versteria mustelae. Its description in RNAcentral is "tRNA-Gln". Lineage: Eukaryota; Metazoa; Platyhelminthes; Cestoda; Cyclophyllidea; Taeniidae. The record is from RNAcentral.